This 1245-nucleotide ribosomal RNA is filed under the name Escherichia coli. RNAcentral's name for it is "partial 23S ribosomal RNA". It matches the Rfam family "Bacterial large subunit ribosomal RNA", at positions 1705 to 2925 of the family's 2925-position model. Lineage: Bacteria; Pseudomonadati; Pseudomonadota; Gammaproteobacteria; Enterobacterales; Enterobacteriaceae. The record is from RNAcentral.
UGAAGGAACUAGGCAAAAUGGUGCCGUAACUUCGGGAGAAGGCACGCUGAUAUGUAGGUGAGGUCCCUCGCGGAUGGAGCUGAAAUCAGUCGAAGAUACCAGCUGGCUGCAACUGUUUAUUAAAAACACAGCACUGUGCAAACACGAAAGUGGACGUAUACGGUGUGACGCCUGCCCGGUGCCGGAAGGUUAAUUGAUGGGGUUAGCGGUAACGCGAAGCUCUUGAUCGAAGCCCCGGUAAACGGCGGCCGUAACUAUAACGGUCCUAAGGUAGCGAAAUUCCUUGUCGGGUAAGUUCCGACCUGCACGAAUGGCGUAAUGAUGGCCAGGCUGUCUCCACCCGAGACUCAGUGAAAUUGAACUCGCUGUGAAGAUGCAGUGUACCCGCGGCAAGACGGAAAGACCCCGUGAACCUUUACUAUAGCUUGACACUGAACAUUGAGCCUUGAUGUGUAGGAUAGGUGGGAGGCUUAGAAGUGUGGACGCCAGUCUGCAUGGAGCCGACCUUGAAAUACCACCCUUUAAUGUUUGAUGUUCUAACGUUGACCCGUAAUCCGGGUUGCGGACAGUGUCUGGUGGGUAGUUUGACUGGGGCGGUCUCCUCCUAAAGAGUAACGGAGGAGCACGAAGGUUGGCUAAUCCUGGUCGGACAUCAGGAGGUUAGUGCAAUGGCAUAAGCCAGCUUGACUGCGAGCGUGACGGCGCGAGCAGGUGCGAAAGCAGGUCAUAGUGAUCCGGUGGUUCUGAAUGGAAGGGCCAUCGCUCAACGGAUAAAAGGUACUCCGGGGAUAACAGGCUGAUACCGCCCAAGAGUUCAUAUCGACGGCGGUGUUUGGCACCUCGAUGUCGGCUCAUCACAUCCUGGGGCUGAAGUAGGUCCCAAGGGUAUGGCUGUUCGCCAUUUAAAGUGGUACGCGAGCUGGGUUUAGAACGUCGUGAGACAGUUCGGUCCCUAUCUGCCGUGGGCGCUGGAGAACUGAGGGGGGCUGCUCCUAGUACGAGAGGACCGGAGUGGACGCAUCACUGGUGUUCGGGUUGUCAUGCCAAUGGCACUGCCCGGUAGCUAAAUGCGGAAGAGAUAAGUGCUGAAAGCAUCUAAGCACGAAACUUGCCCCGAGAUGAGUUCUCCCUGACUCCUUGAGAGUCCUGAAGGAACGUUGAAGACGACGACGUUGAUAGGCCGGGUGUGUAAGCGCAGCGAUGCGUUGAGCUAACCGGUACUAAUGAACCGUGAGGCUUAACCUU